ACCCGCACAAGCGGUGGAUGAUGUGGAUUAAUUCGAUGCAACGCGAAGAACCUUUACCUACCCUUGACAUGUCCGGAACUUGCCAGAGAUGGCUUGGUGCCCGAAAGGGAAUCGGAACACAGGUGCUGCAUGGCUGUCGUCAGCUCGUGUCGUGAGAUGUUGGGUUAAGUCCCGCAACGAGCGCAACCCUUAUCAUUAGUUGCCAUCAUUUGGUUGGGCACUCUAAUGAGACUGCCGGUGACAAACCGGAGGAAGGUGGGGAUGACGUCAAGUCCUCAUGGCCCUUAUGGGUAGGGCUUCACACGUCAUACAAUGAUCGGUACAGAGGGUUGCCAACCCGCGAGGGGGAGCUAAUCCCACAAAGCCGAUCGUAGUCCGGAUCGCAGUCUGCAACUCGACUGCGUGAAGUCGGAAUCGCUAGUAAUCGUGGAUCAGCAUGUCACGGUGAAUACGUUCCCGGGUCUU
Molecule: ribosomal RNA, 465 nt
Filed under: uncultured Rhodocyclaceae bacterium
Lineage: Bacteria; Pseudomonadati; Pseudomonadota; Betaproteobacteria; Rhodocyclales; Rhodocyclaceae
Description: bacterial SSU rRNA
Rfam family: Bacterial small subunit ribosomal RNA
Source: RNAcentral